RNAcentral lists this transfer RNA (71 nucleotides) under Marmota monax (woodchuck). RNAcentral describes it as "tRNA.Val". It matches the Rfam family "tRNA". Rfam says of the family: Transfer RNA (tRNA) molecules are approximately 80 nucleotides in length. Their secondary structure includes four short double-helical elements and three loops (D, anti-codon, and T loops). Lineage: Eukaryota; Metazoa; Chordata; Mammalia; Rodentia; Sciuridae. The record is from RNAcentral.
GGGGCUGUAGCUCAGCGGCAGAGAGCUUGCCUAACAUGCAUGAGGCACUGGGUUCGAUCCUCAGCACCACA